Molecule: ribosomal RNA, 467 nt
Filed under: uncultured bacterium
Lineage: Bacteria
Description: partial 16S ribosomal RNA
Rfam family: Bacterial small subunit ribosomal RNA
Source: RNAcentral
GACGAACGCUGGCGGCGUGCUUAACACAUGCAAGUCGAACGGAAAGGCCCUGCUUUUGUGGGGUGCUCGAGUGGCGAACGGGUGAGUAACACGUGAGUAACCUGCCCUUGACUUUGGGAUAACUUCAGGAAACUGGGGCUAAUACCGGAUAGGAGCUCCUGCUGCAUGAUGGGGGUUGGAAAGUUUCGGCGGUUGGGGAUGGACUCGCGGCUUAUCAGCUUGUUGGUGGGGUAGUGGCUUACCAAGGCUUUGACGGGUAGCCGGCCUGAGAGGGUGACCGGCCACAUUGGGACUGAGAUACGGCCCAGACUCCUACGGGAGGCAGCAGUGGGGAAUAUUGCACAAUGGGCGGAAGCCUGAUGCAGCAACGCCGCGUGCGGGAUGACGGCCUUCGGGUUGUAAACCGCUUUCGCCUGUGACGAAGCGUGAGUGACGGUAAUGGGUAAAGAAGCACCGGCUAACUACGU